RNAcentral lists this ribosomal RNA (460 nucleotides) under uncultured bacterium. RNAcentral describes it as "partial 16S ribosomal RNA". It matches the Rfam family "Bacterial small subunit ribosomal RNA", at positions 338 to 795 of the family's 1533-position model. The record is from RNAcentral.
CCUACGGGAGGCAGCAGUGAGGAAUAUUGGUCAAUGGGCGGAAGCCUGAACCAGCCAAGUCGCGUGAGGGAUUAAGGCCCUAUGGGUCGUAAACCUCUUUUGUCAGGGAGCAAGGUCGUCCACGUGUGGGCGUAUGGAGAGUACCUGAAGAAAAAGCAUCGGCUAACUCCGUGCCAGCAGCCGCGGUAAUACGGAGGAUGCGAGCGUUAUCCGGAUUUAUUGGGUUUAAAGGGUGCGUAGGCGGGACCUUAAGUCAGCGGUAAAAUUGCGGUGCUCAACCGCGCCCCGCAGUUGAAACUGGACGCCUUGAGUUCACAACAGGCAGGCGGAAUUCGUGGUGUAGCGGUGAAAUGCAUAGAUAUCACGAGGAACCCCGAUUGCGAAGGCAGCCUGCCGGGGUGCGACUGACGCUGAGGCUCGAAGGUGCGGGUAUCAAACAGGAUUAGAUACCCCUGUAGUC